This 634-nucleotide long non-coding RNA is filed under the name Vulpes vulpes (red fox). RNAcentral describes it as "lncRNA (ENSVVUG00000027412.1)". Lineage: Eukaryota; Metazoa; Chordata; Mammalia; Carnivora; Canidae. The record is from RNAcentral.
CAGAUUGUAGCCAAUACUGUUUCUAAAUGAAAAAUCAUCAUUAAGCAUCUACCGUUGUUUUCAAACUUAAAAUCUGCAGCAAAAUUUCAAGACAUGCAAAUAGCUCGGUGAAAAUCAAAUAUCUUCUUUCACUGAGUUCAACUGCUAUUAGCCAGCAGUUUGGGUUUCCUUUCUCUUCUAAGGAAACUUCCAACUCCCAGUGCUCCUCAGCGUGUGAAAACCAGAGGACCAAAGGACCAAUGUUCUUUUUCGUCAACUAUUUGUGGUUUGGCACUGGGAGUCCUUGCAGUCGUGCCUCAGAGUCCUCCAUGGUCUGGCUUCCUCAUGCUCACAUUCAGCUCUGAAUUCUUCAAAGGAAUCUCUGCAGAAAAGGAACACCAAACAGCUCAUGUCAUAAGUUGAAAUUCCUAUUGACAUCUGACAACUCUGUAAGCUGGAAAGAACAUAGUUGUUAUGUCAGAAAGGUCUUCCAGUCUCUUUCAUGUGAGCCUUGGCAAGUUAGGUGACGUCUCUGAGCCUUGUUCCUUCAUCUCUUGAGUGGGGAUAAUGAUAUCUACCUGCCAAGACCAUUAUAAGGAUUAAAGGGAUAAUUCAUAUUAAAAUCUUGGCACAUACUAAGCACUUCAUAAAAAAU